Molecule: ribosomal RNA, 761 nt
Filed under: Prevotella melaninogenica
Lineage: Bacteria; Pseudomonadati; Bacteroidota; Bacteroidia; Bacteroidales; Prevotellaceae
Description: bacterial SSU rRNA
Rfam family: Bacterial small subunit ribosomal RNA
Source: RNAcentral
GAUGAACGCUAGCUACAGGCUUAACACAUGCAAGUCGAGGGGAAACGGCAUUUAGUGCUUGCACCGAAUGGACGUCGACCGGCGCACGGGUGAGUAACGCGUAUCCAACCUACCCAUUACUGUGGGAUAACCUGCCGAAAGGCAGACUAAUACCGCAUAGUCUUCGAUGACGGCAUCAGAUUUGAAGUAAAGAUUUAUCGGUAAUGGAUGGGGAUGCGUCUGAUUAGCUUGUUGGCGGGGUAACGGCCCACCAAGGCGACGAUCAGUAGGGGUUCUGAGAGGAAGGUCCCCCACAUUGGAACUGAGACACGGUCCAAACUCCUACGGGAGGCAGCAGUGAGGAAUAUUGGUCAAUGGACGAGAGUCUGAACCAGCCAAGUAGCGUGCAGGAUGACGGCCCUAUGGGUUGUAAACUGCUUUUGUAUGGGGAUAAAGUCAAUCACGUGUGAUUGUUUGCAGGUACCAUACGAAUAAGGACCGGCUAAUUCCGUGCCAGCAGCCGCGGUAAUACGGAAGGUCCGGGCGUUAUCCGGAUUUAUUGGGUUUAGAGGGAGCGUAGGCCGGAGAUUAAGUGUGUUGUGAAAUGUAGACGCUCAACGUCUGACUUGCAGCGCAUACUGGUUUCCUUGAGUACGCACAACGUUGGCGGAAUUCGUCGUGUAGCGGUGAAAUGCUUAGAUAUGACGAAGAACUCCGAUUGCGAAGGCAGCUGACGGGAGCGCAACUGACGCUUAAGCUCGAAGGUGCGGGUAUCGAACAGG